AUUGAACGCUGGCGGCAUGCCUUACACAUGCAAGUCGAACGGUAACAGGUCUUCGGAUGCUGACGAGUGGCGAACGGGUGAGUAAUACAUCGGAACGUGCCCGAUCGUGGGGGAUAACGGAGCGAAAGCUUUGCUAAUACCGCAUACGAUCUACGGAUGAAAGCAGGGGACCGCAAGGCCUUGCGCGGACGGAGCGGCCGAUGGCAGAUUAGGUAGUUGGUGGGAUAAAAGCUUACCAAGCCGACGAUCUGUAGCUGGUCUGAGAGGACGACCAGCCACACUGGGACUGAGACACGGCCCAGACUCCUACGGGAGGCAGCAGUGGGGAAUUUUGGACAAUGGGCGCAAGCCUGAUCCAGCCAUGCCGCGUGCAGGAUGAAGGCCUUCGGGUUGUAAACUGCUUUUGUACGGAACGAAAAGACUCUUUCUAAUAAAGAGGGUCCAUGACGGUACCGUAAGAAUAAGCACCGGCUAACUACGUA
RNAcentral lists this ribosomal RNA (482 nucleotides) under uncultured bacterium. RNAcentral describes it as "bacterial SSU rRNA". It matches the Rfam family "Bacterial small subunit ribosomal RNA", at positions 30 to 507 of the family's 1533-position model. The record is from RNAcentral.